Molecule: long non-coding RNA, 1434 nt
Filed under: Calidris pygmaea (Spoon-billed sandpiper)
Lineage: Eukaryota; Metazoa; Chordata; Aves; Charadriiformes; Scolopacidae
Description: lncRNA (ENSCPGG00000004492.1)
Source: RNAcentral
GGGGCGGGAGGGCGGCUCCGCUCCCCCCGCUGCGGUCUCGGUUCCCAUGGCGACACUUCCUGUGGCAGCCGAAAGCGGUAGUGCCGGGGAGCUCCGGGCCGGGCCGGGAGAGCCGCGCCGCGCCGCGCCGCCGGCCGGGGAUGCUGCGGGGCCGCGGGCCGCGCCGGUAGCGCUCUGGGCCGGGCGGUGCCAGGCAUGCAGGGCAAGGCCAAGCUGCUGCUGGUCCACAACGGCCGCAUGGGCCCAGCUGUGUCAGAUGGAGGUAAGGCUGCUCUUUGCUCUGGGACAGAAGGCCGGCAUCAUCUUCAGGGGAGGGGGAAGCCCACAGACAGCCUGGUGCCAGGGGCAAGGAGCCAGCAGAGAGCCAGGUCCUGUGUCAGCACAGGCUGUGCUGUGGGCGAGUGCAUGACUGGACCCCCACAGUGCUGGGCUGAGCCCUGUGCCAGGAACUCGCCAUACCCACCCCCCGUCCUUCCCGCACAGCCCCAUGUCGCCUGUCCCUCCCUUCUGGCUGCUCAGCUGACUUCCUUGGGUGCUGGAGCGGGAGGGAGGGCUUGGGGCUUCCUAGGGUAAGCAGAAACUGGGUACCAGCCAGCCCCGGGUUCCCUGAGGGAGUUUGUCUGUCUGUCCAUCUGUCUCAUUGUGCACCAGAUAUCUUAGCUGGCCCAUUCCCACAUCUCGGUCCCACUGCAGGAUCCUUCCAGCAUGAGGUGCUGGGGGCUGCUGUUCCCAUCUGCAGGGUGUGUGCACUUACCCUGUGUUUUGCACAGGAGGAGGAUGGGGAGCCCUGGCCACGUAGGAGCUUGCUGCCUCCUCUGCUCCUGCCAGCUUUGCCGGGAGAGCCAAACUUCCAUACCCUUACCUUCUCUUGCAAAUGACCCUCUGCUCCCAGUCGCUCACCACCCAAACCAUUUCAGAAGCUGGGGUUGCCCCUGGGAACUUCCGUCUUUUUGAUGGAAGGACUCAAUUUGAAUGCAUGGUCACCUUGGGUUUCCCCGAGGGAGGGUUUCCUUGAGGCUGGGAGCCAGGAAUGACACUUUCUGUGCCCUCUUAUCGCUGGGUUUGUUCCUUGUCGAGGCCUGAGGAAUGGAGAAGGCAGGUUCAGGCACCUCUACCCAUCUUCUGAGCUUCCCUCCACGCUGUGUGCCGGCCAUGUCCCCUUCCGCCCUGCUUUCCCUCCCUAUCUGGGUGCUUUCCCCCUGCAUCAGCUUUGUUCCCCCGGGAGAUGAGUCACAGAUGGAGUCACCGUGACACCCAGGGAGGAAGGCCAGUGCUGGCAGGGAGGGCUGUCACACCAGAAGGUGCCAGCUGUGGCAUCACAGCGCUUGAUCCGCUGAGGAUGCCGCUGUGAUACCAGCUCCUCAUGCUCCCUUCCUCAGGUCUCGCUGGCUCACAACAGGAUGGGGCAAAUGAACUCAUUGUAGAUAUGAAGGC